GACAGAGGGUGCAAACGUUGUUCGGAAUCACUGGGCUUAAAGGGCGCGUAGGCGGGCUGACAAGUCUGGGGUGAAAUGCCGCGGCUCAACCGUGGAACUGCCUUAGAUACUGUCGGCCUCGAGGAAGGUAGGGGCAUGCGGAACUGUAGGUGGAGCGGUGAAAUGCGUUGAUAUCUACAGGAACUCCGGUGGCGAAAGCGGCGUGCUGGACCUUUUCUGACGCUGAGGCGCGAAAGCUAGGGGAGCAAACGGG
This 253-nucleotide ribosomal RNA is filed under the name uncultured bacterium. RNAcentral describes it as "partial 16S ribosomal RNA". It matches the Rfam family "Bacterial small subunit ribosomal RNA", at positions 524 to 776 of the family's 1533-position model. The record is from RNAcentral.